AACGAACGCUGGCGGCAUGCCUAACACAUGCAAGUCGAACGAGUGCCUUCGGGUGCUAGUGGCGCACGGGUGCGUAACGCGUGGGAAUCUGCCCUUUGGUUCGGAAUAACAGUUGGAAACGACUGCUAAUACCGGAUGAUGACGAAAGUCCAAAGAUUUAUCGCCAGAGGAUGAGCCCGCGUAGGAUUAGCUAGUUGGUGUGGUAAAGGCGCACCAAGGCGACGAUCCUUAGCUGGUCUGAGAGGAUGAUCAGCCACACUGGGACUGAGACACGGCCCAGACUCCUACGGGAGGCAGCAGUGGGGAAUAUUGGACAAUGGGCGAAAGCCUGAUCCAGCAAUGCCGCGUGAGUGAUGAAGGCCUUAGGGUUGUAAAGCUCUUUUACCCGGGAUGAUAAUGACAGUACCGGGAGAAUAAGCUCCGGCUAACUCCGUGCCAGCAGCCGCGGUAAUACGGAGGGAGCUAGCGUUGUUCGGAAUUACUGGGCGUAAAGCGCACGUAGGCGGCUUUGUAAGUUAGAGGUGAAAGCCUGGAGCUCAACUCCAGAACUGCCUUUAAGACUGCAUCGCUUGAAUCCAGGAGAGGUGAGUGGAAUUCCGAGUGUAGAGGUGGAAUUCGUAGAUAUUCGGAAGAACACCAGUGGCGAAGGCGGCUCACUGGACUGGUAUUGACGCUGAGGUGCGAAAGCGUGGGGAGCAAACAGG
Molecule: ribosomal RNA, 704 nt
Filed under: uncultured Sphingomonas sp.
Lineage: Bacteria; Pseudomonadati; Pseudomonadota; Alphaproteobacteria; Sphingomonadales; Sphingomonadaceae
Description: bacterial SSU rRNA
Rfam family: Bacterial small subunit ribosomal RNA
Source: RNAcentral